RNAcentral lists this non-coding RNA (23 nucleotides) under Arabidopsis thaliana (thale cress). The record is from RNAcentral. Lineage: Eukaryota; Viridiplantae; Streptophyta; Magnoliopsida; Brassicales; Brassicaceae.
GGGGUGGUGAGGUUGUGAAUUCG